RNAcentral lists this long non-coding RNA (459 nucleotides) under Mytilus galloprovincialis (Mediterranean mussel). Lineage: Eukaryota; Metazoa; Mollusca; Bivalvia; Mytilida; Mytilidae. The record is from RNAcentral.
UCGAAAUACGUCGGCAAGAUUGCAGCAGACGAAAAUUGGACGAGAAAAUAAUCUUCUUAAAAAACCCACCACCCUCCCAAUGUAAAUUAAUUUUGUGUUACAUGUGUAUUUGUUCUGAAUGGAAGUAAGAAACCAGAUACUGCUUUUAAGUUUAUAUUUCAGCUUAUUUCUGCUAAUGGUACGGAGAUGGGAGAGUAGGAGACAACUAGUGAACAUAAUGUAGAUGUAAAAGUGGACAUUGGCAGAGCACAUUUGGCACAUUUCGCUGCGCUGGAUUUAACAUUCAUAUAUUCAGUGAACAGUAAUGAUAGCCUCUGAUUACCAGGGCUCAUCAGUCAACUUCUCGUACCAGACAUAUUACUUAAAUAUAUUUAUAUUAGUGGUUUGCCAUAAUUUGCGGUAGCCACAUUAUAAUUUACAUAUAUAUUAAAUACAGACAUUGAUAAAUAUAUUUCAGAG